RNAcentral lists this long non-coding RNA (668 nucleotides) under Cavia porcellus (domestic guinea pig). Its description in RNAcentral is "lncRNA (ENSCPOG00000037080.1)". Lineage: Eukaryota; Metazoa; Chordata; Mammalia; Rodentia; Caviidae. The record is from RNAcentral.
CAAAAUCACUACAUUCUUUACUUAGAAAUAUUUGCACCCAAAUGAAGUGAGUCAUUAUUAGAUAAAUAGAGGAACUUCUAAAUCCCUUAUAGGAGAGAAUUUAGUUUUUAAAAAAUAUGUUUUCCAAUUAGACAAUUAUGACUCUUACGGGCACUUCUCUGGGUGUCGGAUUCCCUUCUGCCUGUAAAGCUACUGAAAGUUGUCUCCUGAUAUUUAUCUCUCUUUCUUAUUUUUUGGUGCCCACAUCUAGCUCACCAUGUUGCACUUCCCAGAUACGCACUUGAGCCACUGAGCUAAGUCCCCAGCCCCCUCUUCUUCUUAUAUAAUAACAGAAUAUUUCCUAGCCUGCCUUUUUUGUGGCUAGUUGUAACAUUAGAAUUGUAAGGUAAAGAGACUGUAUUUGUCUUCCUUUGCUAUUUAGACAUUGUUAAAGUGGCAGGAAAUCUUGAACUACUGAUAUGCAGAUACUGGAAGAGCCAAAAAGGUGGAACAGAAGGAGCUUUUUCUCCAGACAAACUUUGAGCAAAACUAUCAUUCCAGCCCUGGCUAAGAGAGCGCUGUACCCCCCGUGUCCCGACAAGGCGUGCGUGUUUACCUUGCCCGGAGUUCAGAGUGCUCUAGACACUCACGACAGUUAGUUUUUUCACACAGGUUCAAAAACAAACAUU